GGAGAAUUGGCCGAGUGGUCGAAGGCGCACGCUUGGAAAGCGUGUAUACCUCCGGGUAUCGGGAGUUCGAAUCUCCUGUUCUCCGCCA
This 88-nucleotide transfer RNA is filed under the name Deltaproteobacteria bacterium. RNAcentral's name for it is "tRNA-Ser". It matches the Rfam family "tRNA". Rfam says of the family: Transfer RNA (tRNA) molecules are approximately 80 nucleotides in length. Lineage: Bacteria; Pseudomonadati; Myxococcota; Myxococcia. RNAcentral also lists the same sequence under 1 other name. The record is from RNAcentral.